UGAGGAAUAUUGGUCAAUGGGCGCAGGCCUGAACCAGCCAAGUAGCGUGAAGGAUGACUGCCCUAUGGGUUGUAAACUUCUUUUAUAAAGGAAUAAAGUCGGGUAUGUAUACCCGUUUGCAUGUACUUUAUGAAUAAGGAUCGGCUAACUCCGUGCCAGCAGCCGCGGUAAUACGGAGGAUCCGAGCGUUAUCCGGAUUUAUUGGGUUUAAAGGGAGCGUAGAUGGAUGUUUAAGUCAGUUGUGAAAGUUUGCGGCUCAACCGUAAAAUUGCAGUUGAUACUGGAUAUCUUGAGUGCAGUUGAGGCAGGCGGAAUUCGUGGUGUAGCGGUGAAAUGCUUAGAUAUCACGAAGAACUCCGAUUGCGAAGGCAGCCUGCUAAGCUGCAACUGACAUUGAGGCUCGAAAGUGUGGGUAUCAAACAGGAUUAGAUACCCUGGUAGUCCACACGGUAAACGAUGAAUACUCGCUGUUUGCGAUAUACUGCAAGCGGCCAAGCGAAAGCGUUAAGUAUUCCACCUGGGGAGUACGCCGGCAACGGUGAAACUCAAAGGAAUUGACGGGGGCCCGCACAAGUGGAGGAACAUGUGGUUUAAUUCGAUGAUACGCGAGGAACCUUACCCGGGCUUAAAUUGCAGAUGAAUUACGGUGAAAGCCGUAAGCCGCAAGGCAUCUGUGAAGGUGCUGCAUGGUUGUCGUCAGCUCGUGCCGUGAGGUGUCGGCUUAAGUGCCAUAACGAGCGCAACCCUUGUUGUCAGUUACUAACAGGUUCCGCUGAGGACUCUGACAAGACUGCCAUCGUAAGAUGUGAGGAAGGUGGGGAUGACGUCAAAUCAGCACGGCCCUUACGUCCGGGGCUACACACGUGUUACAAUGGGGGGUACAGAGGGCCGCUACCACGCGAGUGGAUGCCAAUCCCCAAAACCUCUCUCAGUUCGGACUGGAGUCUGCAACCCGACUCCACGAAGCUGGAUUCGCUAGUAAUCGCGCAUCAGCCACGGCGCGGUGAAUACGUUCCC
This 1017-nucleotide ribosomal RNA is filed under the name uncultured bacterium. RNAcentral's name for it is "bacterial SSU rRNA". It matches the Rfam family "Bacterial small subunit ribosomal RNA", at positions 355 to 1375 of the family's 1533-position model. The record is from RNAcentral.